GACGAACGCUGGCGGCGUGCCUAAUACAUGCAAGUUGAGCGCUGAAGGUUGGUACUUGUACCAACUGGAUGAGCAGCGAACGGGUGAGUAACGCGUGGGGAAUCUGCCUUUGAGCGGGGGACAACAUUUGGAAACGAAUGCUAAUACCGCAUAAAAACUUUAAACACAAGUUUUAAGUUUGAAAGAUGCAAUUGCAUCACUCAAAGAUGAUCCCGCGUUGUAUUAGCUAGUUGGUGAGGUAAAGGCUCACCAAGGCGAUGAUACAUAGCCGACCUGAGAGGGUGAUAGGCCACAUUGGGACUGAGACACGGCCCAAACUCCUACGGGAGGCAGCAGUAGGGAAUCUUCGGCAAUGGACGAAAGUCUGACAGAGCAACGCCGCGUGAGUGAAGAAGGUUUUCGGAUCGUAAAACUCUGUUGGUAGAGAAGAACGUUGGUGAGAGUGGAAAGCUCAUCAAGUGACGGUAACUACCCAGAAAGGGACGGCUAACUACGUG
Molecule: ribosomal RNA, 497 nt
Filed under: uncultured bacterium
Lineage: Bacteria
Description: partial 16S ribosomal RNA
Rfam family: Bacterial small subunit ribosomal RNA
Source: RNAcentral